GAUGAAGAACGUAGCGAAAUGCGAUAAGUAAUGUGAAUUGCAGAAUUCAGUGAAUCAUCGAAUCUUUGAACGCACAUUGCGCCCUCUGGUAUUCCGGGGGGCAUGCCUGUUCGAGCGUCAUUACAACCCUCAAGCUUUGCUUGGUAUUGGACAUUGCCAGUUUCUGGCAGGUCUUAAAAUCAGUGGCGGUGCCAUUUGGCUUCAAGCGUAGUAAUUCUUCUCGCUUUGGAGAUCCAAGUGGUUACUUGCCAAUAACCCCCAAUUUUUUCAGGUUGACCUCGGAUCAGGUAGGGAUACCCGCUGAACUUAAGCAUAUCAAAAGCGGAGGA
RNAcentral lists this unclassified non-coding RNA (329 nucleotides) under soil metagenome. RNAcentral describes it as "partial contains 5.8S ribosomal RNA, internal transcribed spacer 2, and large subunit ribosomal RNA". The stretch from base 1 to 120 matches the Rfam family "5.8S ribosomal RNA", at positions 35 to 154 of the family's 154-position model. The record is from RNAcentral.